UGGGGAAUUUUGCGCAAUGGGGGAAAGCCCUGACGCAGCAACGCCGCGUGCGGGAUGAAGGCCUUCGGGUUGUAAACCGCUUUCAGUAGGGAAGAAAAUGACGGUACCUACAGAAGAAGCUCCGGCUAACUACGUGCCAGCAGCCGCGGUAAUGCGUAGGGAGCGAGCGUUAUCCGGAUUUAUUGGGCGUAAAGCGCGCGUAGGCGGGCUAUUAAGUCAGGUGUUAAAGCCCGGGGCUCAACCCCGGCCCGCACUGAAACUGGAUAGUCUUGAGUCUGGUAGGGGAAAGUGGAAUUCCCAGUGUAGCGGUGAAAUGCGCAGAUAUUGGGAAGAACACCAGUGGCGAAGGCGGCUUUCUAGGCCACGACUGACGCUGAGGCGCGAAAGCUAGGGGAGCAAACAGGAUUAGAUACC
RNAcentral lists this ribosomal RNA (414 nucleotides) under uncultured bacterium. Its description in RNAcentral is "bacterial SSU rRNA". It matches the Rfam family "Bacterial small subunit ribosomal RNA", at positions 355 to 786 of the family's 1533-position model. The record is from RNAcentral.